Molecule: ribosomal RNA, 560 nt
Filed under: Colletotrichum boninense
Lineage: Eukaryota; Fungi; Ascomycota; Sordariomycetes; Glomerellales; Glomerellaceae
Description: eukaryotic LSU rRNA
Rfam family: 5.8S ribosomal RNA (bases 197-350)
Source: RNAcentral
CAUUACUGAGUUACCGCUCUAUAACCCUUUGUGAACAUACCUACAACUGUUGCUUCGGCGGGUAGGCCGUCCCCUGAAAAGGACGCCUCCCGGCCCGGACCGGGCCCCCUGUGGGGCCGGACUCGGCGCCCGCCGGAGGAUAACCAAACGCUAUUUUAACGACGUUUCUUCUGAGUGGCAUAAGCAAAAUAAUCAAAACUUUUAACAACGGAUCUCUUGGUUCUGGCAUCGAUGAAGAACGCAGCGAAAUGCGAUAAGUAAUGUGAAUUGCAGAAUUCAGUGAAUCAUCGAAUCUUUGAACGCACAUUGCGCCCGCCAGCAUUCUGGCGGGCAUGCCUGUUCGAGCGUCAUUUCAACCCUCAAGCUCUGCUUGGUGUUGGGGCUCUACGGUCGACGUAGGCCCUCAAAGGUAGUGGCGGACCCUCCCGGAGCCUCCUUUGCGUAGUAACAUUUCGUCUCGCACUGGGAUCCGGAGGGACUCUUGCCGUAAAACCCCCCAAUUUUUCAAGGUUGACCUCGGAUCAGGUAGGAAUACCCGCUGAACUUAAGCAUAUCAAUAA